AAUAAGUACUUUUUUAGCACUGUUUAUGUCUAACGUUUGACCGUUCGUCUUAUUUGAAAAAAAGUUAUGAUUAGCAUUUUUAUUGUUAUUAUAUGAUAAAACAUGAGUAGUACUUUAUAUAUGACUAUUUUUUUUAAUUUUUUCAUAAAUUUUUCAAAUAAUACGAAUGGUCAAAACGCUAAACACGGAUAUCUAUGGCUGCACUUAUU
Oryza nivara is the source of this 209-nucleotide non-coding RNA. Lineage: Eukaryota; Viridiplantae; Streptophyta; Magnoliopsida; Poales; Poaceae. The record is from Rfam.